AACGUAGGUGGCGAGCGUUAUCCGGAUUUACUGGGCGUAAAGGGCGCGUAGGCGGCUUGAUGUGUCAAAGGUGAAAUCCCUCGGCUCAACUGAGGAACUGCCUUUGAAACUGUCUGGCUUGAGGCCGGGAGAGGGUAGCGGAAUUCCCAGUGUAGCGGUGAAAUGCGUAGAUACUGGGAGGAACACCGGUGGCGAAGGCGGCUACCUGGACCGGUUCUGACGCUGAUGCGCGAAAGCGUGGGUAGCAAACAGG
This 253-nucleotide ribosomal RNA is filed under the name uncultured bacterium. RNAcentral describes it as "partial 16S ribosomal RNA". It matches the Rfam family "Bacterial small subunit ribosomal RNA", at positions 524 to 776 of the family's 1533-position model. The record is from RNAcentral.